UUCCAGCUGUCUCUACUUGCACUUUCUCUCUCUACCCCAUCUCUCCCCAACCUGAUCCAUCCCCGCCCCACCAACAUCCCCACCUCCCCCUAGUCCACUCAUAAAAUCUAUUUCUCCCUUCCAGGGAGAUCUAUGCGUCUCUACUAGGCCCCUCCUCUUUACCUGAUUUCUCUAGGUCUAUGGAUUACAGCUUGGUUAUCAUUUACUUAACAGGAUGAGGUGGAAGCCGCUCGACAGAAGGGAUGUCCAUAAAAAUACUGAAACCACUCUGCCCAUCCUGAGUGCUCCCAGGGCUUCUCCUGUCCUGGCCCUCACCAGCUCUGCUGCCAGCCUUACAGGUACUUCCUUAGGAGAAGAUCUGCAUGUCUUCCAGACACAACUUCACUACACAAAGAAAGAGGCCAUGGAGUUCUAAUUGUGGAAUUUCAGUUGUCUGCGUGGGAGCUGGGCCCUGAUGGAAGGCGCACAUCAGCUGACUGCUGGGCCCUGCUGCUCCUCUGGAAAGAGGGGCACAUUGGCUGCCAUCCCAGGAUUUCUGUUAAUAAAUCAGACUUCUCUGCCACCA
This is a long non-coding RNA of Peromyscus eremicus (cactus mouse), 565 nucleotides long. RefSeq lists it as uncharacterized. The record is from RefSeq and is a predicted model, not a curated record. The transcript is spliced from 3 exons. NCBI's taxonomy places the organism in Eukaryota, Metazoa, Chordata, Mammalia, Rodentia, Cricetidae.